This 29-nucleotide small RNA is filed under the name Bombyx mori (domestic silkworm). RNAcentral describes it as "ovarian small RNA-20322". The record is from RNAcentral. Lineage: Eukaryota; Metazoa; Arthropoda; Insecta; Lepidoptera; Bombycidae.
UACAGUACGGUUGGCUCUAUGGUGGCAAC